UGGUUCUGGCAUCGAUGAAGAACGCAGCGAAAUGCGAUAAGUAAUGUGAAUUGCAGAAUUCAGUGAAUCAUCGAAUCUUUGAACGCACGUUGCGCCCGCUAGUACUCUAGCGGGCAUGCCUGUUCGAGCGUCAUUUCAACCCUCAAGCCCUGCUUGGUGUUGGGGCCCUACGGCUGCCGUAGGCCCUGAAAGGAAGUGGCGGGCUCGCUACAACUCCGAGCGUAGUAAUUCAUUAUCUCGCUAGGGACGUUGCGGCGCGCUCCUGCCGUUAAAGACCAUCUUUAACUCAAGGUUGACCUCGGAUCAGGUAGGAAUACCCGCUGA
Molecule: unclassified non-coding RNA, 324 nt
Filed under: uncultured fungus
Lineage: Eukaryota; Fungi
Description: partial contains 5.8S ribosomal RNA and internal transcribed spacer 2
Rfam family: 5.8S ribosomal RNA (bases 1-133)
Source: RNAcentral